This 71-nucleotide transfer RNA is filed under the name Camelus bactrianus (Bactrian camel). It matches the Rfam family "tRNA". Rfam says of the family: Transfer RNA (tRNA) molecules are approximately 80 nucleotides in length. The record is from Rfam by way of RNAcentral. Lineage: Eukaryota; Metazoa; Chordata; Mammalia; Artiodactyla; Camelidae. RNAcentral also lists the same sequence under 2 other names.
GGAUAGAUAGUUCAGUGGCAGAGUGUGUGCUUAGCAUGUAUGAGGUCCUGGGUUCGAUCCCCAGUACUCCA